GCCAGGUGUGGUGGCUCAUGCCUAUAAUCCCUGCACUUUGGGAGGCUGAGGUGGGAGGAUCACUUGAGCCCAGGAUUUUGAGACCAGUCCAGGCAACACAGCGAAACCUAGUCUCUACCAAAAAAACAGGCAUGGUGAUGCACACCUGUAUUUCCAGCUACUUGGGAGGCUGAGGUGGGAGGAUCUCCUGAGCCCAGGUAGAGGCUGCAGUGAGCUGUGAUUGUGCCAUUGUACUCUAGCCUGGGCAACAGAGUGAGACCCUAUCUCA
This 268-nucleotide small RNA is filed under the name Pan troglodytes (chimpanzee). Its description in RNAcentral is "Metazoan signal recognition particle RNA (ENSPTRG00000045936.1)". Lineage: Eukaryota; Metazoa; Chordata; Mammalia; Primates; Hominidae. The record is from RNAcentral.